This 98-nucleotide long non-coding RNA is filed under the name Fukomys damarensis (Damara mole-rat). RNAcentral's name for it is "lncRNA (ENSFDAG00000029433.1)". The record is from RNAcentral. Lineage: Eukaryota; Metazoa; Chordata; Mammalia; Rodentia; Bathyergidae.
AAAGACUUGUAACAGAAGGAAAUAGAUGCUUGAGCUGCGUCUUCCCAUUUCCAUGUGGAGCAGCGUAGGAAAGACUGAAGACCCAACAUACAUCACAG